Molecule: ribosomal RNA, 429 nt
Filed under: uncultured bacterium
Lineage: Bacteria
Description: bacterial SSU rRNA
Rfam family: Bacterial small subunit ribosomal RNA
Source: RNAcentral
UGGGGAAUUUUGGACAAUGGGCGAAAGCCUGAUCCAGCAAUGCCGCGUGAGUGAAGAAGGCCUUCGGGUUGUAAAGCCCUUUAGGUUGGGAAGAAGUGUGUAGGCUGAAUAAUCCUACAUAUUGACGGUACCGACAGAAUAAGCACCGGCAAACUCUGUGCCAGCAGCCGCGGUAAUACAGAGGGUGCGAGCGUUAAUCGGAGUUACUGGGCGUAAAGGGUGCGUAGGCGGUUGUGUGAGUGUGAUGUGAAAGCCCUGGGCUUAACCUAGGAAGUGCAUCGCAAACGACAUAACUGGAGUAUAAGAGAGGGUGGCGGAAUUUCCGGUGUAGCGGUGAAAUGCGUAGAGAUCGGAAGGAACGUCAAUGGCGAAGGCAGCCACCUGGCUUAAUACUGACGCUGAGGCACGAAAGCGUGGGGAUCAAACAGG